CGGCGGACGGGUGAGUAACGCGUGGGUAACCUGCCUCAUACAGGGGGAUAACAGUUAGAAAUGACUGCUAAUACCGCAUAAGACCACGGUACCGCAUGGUACAGUGGUAAAAACUCCGGUGGUAUGAGAUGGACCCGCGUCUGAUUAGGUAGUUGGUGGGGUAACGGCCUACCAAGCCGACGAUCAGUAGCCGACCUGAGAGGGUGACGGCCACAUUGGGACUGAGACACGGCCCAG
Molecule: ribosomal RNA, 237 nt
Filed under: uncultured bacterium
Lineage: Bacteria
Description: partial 16S ribosomal RNA
Rfam family: Bacterial small subunit ribosomal RNA
Source: RNAcentral